ACGAACGCUGGCGGCGUGCCUAAUACAUGCAAGUCGAGCGGAAUGAUGAAGAAGCUUGCUUCUUCUGAUUUUAGCGGCGGACGGGUGAGUAACACGUGGGCAACCUACCUUGUAGAUUGGGAUAACUCCGGGAAACCGGGGCUAAUACCGAAUAAUCCAUUUUGCUUCAUGGCGAGAUGUUGAAAGACGGUUUCGGCUGUCACUACAAGAUGGGCCCGCGGCGCAUUAGCUAGUUGGUAGGGUAAUGGCCUACCAAGGCGACGAUGCGUAGCCGACCUGAGAGGGUGAUCGGCCACACUGGGACUGAGACACGGCCCAGACUCCUACGGGAGGCAGCAGUAGGGAAUCUUCCACAAUGGACGAAAGUCUGAUGAGCAACGCCGCGUGAGUGAAGAAGGUUUUCGGAUCGUAAAACUCUGUUGUAAGGGAAGAACACGUACGAGAGUAACUGCUCGUACCUUGACGGUACCUUAUUAGAAAGCCACGGCUAACUACGUG
This 498-nucleotide ribosomal RNA is filed under the name uncultured bacterium. Its description in RNAcentral is "bacterial SSU rRNA". It matches the Rfam family "Bacterial small subunit ribosomal RNA", at positions 29 to 507 of the family's 1533-position model. The record is from RNAcentral.